UAGCUUAGAGGAAAGAAGCGCCCGUCUAGCGAAUGGGAGUCGUGGGUUCGAUUCCCAC
This is a non-coding RNA of Aedes albopictus (Asian tiger mosquito), 58 nucleotides long. Lineage: Eukaryota; Metazoa; Arthropoda; Insecta; Diptera; Culicidae. The record is from Rfam.